AAUGGGCGCAAGCCUGAUCCAGCCAUGCCGCGUGAGUGAUGAAGGCCCUAGGGUCGUAAAGCUCUUUCGCCAGGGAUGAUAAUGACAGUACCUGGUAAAGAAACCCCGGCUAACUCCGUGCCAGCAGCCGCGGUAAUACGGAGGGGGUUAGCGUUGUUCGGAAUUACUGGGCGUAAAGCGCGCGUAGGCGGAUUAGUCAGUUAGAGGUGAAAUCCCAGGGCUCAACCCUGGAACUGCCUUUAAUACUGCUAGUCUUGAGUUCGAGAGAGGUGAGUGGAAUUCCGAGUGUAGAGGUGAAAUUCGUAGAUAUUCGGAGGAACACCAGUGGCGAAGGCGGCUCACUGGCUCGAUACUGACGCUGAGGUGCGAAAGUGUGGGGAGCAAACAGGAUU
RNAcentral lists this ribosomal RNA (392 nucleotides) under uncultured Gammaproteobacteria bacterium. Its description in RNAcentral is "bacterial SSU rRNA". It matches the Rfam family "Bacterial small subunit ribosomal RNA", at positions 370 to 779 of the family's 1533-position model. Lineage: Bacteria; Pseudomonadati; Pseudomonadota; Gammaproteobacteria. The record is from RNAcentral.